Molecule: transfer RNA, 76 nt
Filed under: Planctomycetota bacterium
Lineage: Bacteria; Pseudomonadati; Planctomycetota
Description: Planctomycetes bacterium (soil metagenome) tRNA-Lys
Rfam family: tRNA
About the family: Transfer RNA (tRNA) molecules are approximately 80 nucleotides in length. Their secondary structure includes four short double-helical elements and three loops (D, anti-codon, and T loops). Further hydrogen bonds mediate the characteristic L-shaped molecular structure. tRNAs have two regions of fundamental functional importance: the anti-codon, which is responsible for specific mRNA codon recognition, and the 3' end, to which the tRNAs corresponding amino acid is attached (by aminoacyl-tRNA synthetases). tRNAs cope with the degeneracy of the genetic code in two manners: having more than one tRNA (with a specific anti-codon) for a particular amino acid; and 'wobble' base-pairing, i.e. permitting non-standard base-pairing at the 3rd anti-codon position.
Source: RNAcentral
GCGCGAUUAGCUCAGUUGGUAGAGCAAGGGAUUCUUAAUCCCUGGGUCGAAGGUUCGAGUCCUUCAUCGCGCACCA